This 497-nucleotide ribosomal RNA is filed under the name uncultured bacterium. RNAcentral's name for it is "partial 16S ribosomal RNA". It matches the Rfam family "Bacterial small subunit ribosomal RNA", at positions 28 to 507 of the family's 1533-position model. The record is from RNAcentral.
GACGAACGCUGGCGGCGUGCCUAAUACAUGCAAGUUGAGCGCUGAAGGUUGGUACUUGUACCAACUGGAUGAGCAGCGAACGGGUGAGUAACGCGUGGGGAAUCUGCCUUUGAGCGGGGGACAACAUUUGGAAACGAAUGCUAAUACCGCAUAAAAACUUUAAACACAAGUUUUAAGUUUGAAAGAUGCAAUUGCAUCACUCAAAGAUGAUCCCGCGUUGUAUUAGCUAGUUGGUGAGGUAAAGGCUCACCAAGGCGAUGAUACAUAGCCGACCUGAGAGGGUGGUUAGCCGCCCUGGGACUGAGACACGGCCCAAACUCCUUCGGGAAGCAGCCGUACGGAAUCUUCGGCCAUGGGCGGAAGUCUGACCGAGCAACGCCGCGUGAGUGAAGAAGGUUUUCGGAUCGUAAAACUCUGUUGGUAGAGAAGAACGUUGGUGAGAGUGGAAAGCUCAUCAAGUGACGGUAACUACCCAGAAAGGGACGGCUAACUACGUG